RNAcentral lists this ribosomal RNA (356 nucleotides) under Taku spinosocarinatus. Its description in RNAcentral is "partial 12S ribosomal RNA". It matches the Rfam family "Bacterial small subunit ribosomal RNA", at positions 859 to 1384 of the family's 1533-position model. The record is from RNAcentral. Lineage: Eukaryota; Metazoa; Arthropoda; Malacostraca; Stomatopoda; Takuidae.
UUUAAAAAGAUUACCUGGGUAGUAUAUAGUUAUUUUCUUGAAACCCAAAGAGUUUGGCGGUAUCCCAGUCUAGUUAGAGGAGCUUGUUCAGUAAUCGAUAAUCCGCGAAAAAUCUUACGCACUUUUGUAAACAGUUUAUAUACCGUCGUUGUUAGAUAAUGCUAAAAGGCAAACAAUUAUCUUAAUAUAAUAAAAUAUAAUAUAUCAGAUCAAGGUGUAACUUAUGGGUGCGAGUAGAAUGAGCUACAAUUUGAAUUAUAAAUACGGAAGUUAAUAUUAAAUUGAUUAAUAGAAGGUGGAUUUAAUAGUAAUUGCGCUUUUUAGUAAGGAGUAAUGAUGUAAGCUCUGGGAUAUGU